RNAcentral lists this ribosomal RNA (653 nucleotides) under uncultured Piloderma. Its description in RNAcentral is "eukaryotic LSU rRNA". The stretch from base 248 to 402 matches the Rfam family "5.8S ribosomal RNA". Lineage: Eukaryota; Fungi; Basidiomycota; Agaricomycetes; Atheliales; Atheliaceae. The record is from RNAcentral.
AGGAAGUAAAAGUCGUAACAAGGUUUCCGUAGGUGAACCUGCGGAAGGAUCAUUAUCGAAAUUAUAGGUGAGGGUUGUAGCUGGCCUCUCGGGGCAUGUGCACGCCCGAGCCCUUAAUCCACACACACCUGUGAACCUAUUGUAAGGGCCCUUAAAAAAGGCCUUUACGUCUUAUCAUCAACCCAUCGUAUGUCUCAUAGAAUGUAAAUAUAUGUCCUCGCCUUAAAAAGCGUUGAUAAACUUAUACAACUUUCAACAACGGAUCUCUUGGCUCUCGCAUCGAUGAAGAACGCAGCGAAAUGCGAUAAGUAAUGUGAAUUGCAGAUUUUCAGUGGAUCAUCGAAUCUUUGAACGCACCUUGCGCUCCUUGGUAUUCCGAGGAGCAUGCCUGUUUGAGUGUCAUUAAAUUCUCAACUCCGAUCGAUUUGUUUCGACUUCGGAGCUUGGAUUUGGAGCGUGCUGGCGUCGGUCGGCUCCUCUUAAAUGCAUCAGCGGAAUCUAACGUUUCGGACGUCAGUGUGAUAAUCAUGUUGCGCUGUCUGUCUGAUCCGAAAGCCCGCUCACAAUGGUCUUCGGACAAACCUCACUAUCAUAUUUGACCUCAAAUCAUGUAGGACUACCCGCUGAACUUAAGCAUAUCAAUAAGCGGAGGA